This 18199-nucleotide long non-coding RNA is filed under the name Coffea arabica (coffee). Its description in RNAcentral is "long non-coding RNA (CARA_LNC001888)". Lineage: Eukaryota; Viridiplantae; Streptophyta; Magnoliopsida; Gentianales; Rubiaceae. The record is from RNAcentral.
UUCAGGUAUGAAUCAUUGCAUUUAGUCUUUAAUAAUCCAGAUUGAUGGUAAACCUUGGCCCUAUCUAGUUUACUUGUAGUAAACUUAGGAUAUUGAAUCUUUGAUACGUGAAACAACUUGCAGUUGUGCUGUUCUUAUAAAAAUUUAUGAUGGUUUUGCCUUUUUCUCAAGGCUUAAUAUGGCUGUCGUGAAUGAGUUUCAUUUAUCGCUAAUUGAACUCCUGACUCUGCAGAUUCCACUAUCUUGGAAGCCAGUGUUAGAGGACUUUUCAACUGUGCAGAUAUUUUUUGAUUAUUAUACAAUUGCAAAGCCACCUAUCUCGAAAGAGGUCUGUUUUAUAUGUGUACGCAUGUAUAUUUGACUUUAGAUCAUAAGCAGAUUGUUUCAAUGUUCAUCAAGUAUCUGAUUUUUAUUGUCAUUUGCUUUUGAGUCCAAAGUGUAUUAGAUUUGAAAUUUUCAUUUGAAUUACUAUUGAAUUCUGUUGCAACACCAAAUUUCGUGAUUCGGACCAUAGUAAGAGUUUUUUCUUUUUUCUUUUUUUUUCCUUUCCUCCUUUGGCUUGUAUUCUCUGCUUCUCAUAUUCUCCCUUUGUGACACAUUUUUAAACGUAAUAAAUUAGCAGCUUUAAUAGAAAUUCAGAACAAGUCAAUGUGAAUGAAAAGUACAGACUGUGCGGAUUAUGGUUGUGCCAUUACUGCUAGGACAAAAAUUUAGAAAAUUCCAUCUGGUUUUUCUGAUGUGUAGGUCCAUCAUAUUGUUGUUGAGGAUAAAUUUGUAGGUGGAUAGGGUUCUUCACUUUCUAAAUUUUCCUUUUUUUCAUUUUGAGAAGUAUUAGAGUGUUAAAUUCCCUUCUGUUGCAUUAAGUAACAUAUCUGAACAAUUUAAGUCUUCCUUCUGGGCAUUGCACUUGCAGUAACAUGCUUUGCAGGCUCUCUCUCUCUCUCUCUCUGUGCGCGUGCGUGUGAAACUUGUAUCAUUUUAAUAGAACUGUAGUUAAGAAAGGAUAUUAUAACGUACUACUAAUUUUGAUACGCUCUUUAUGUCUGUUAUUAAAUCUGAUUAUUGCAGUUGCUUAUGGUACCCUUUUCUAGCUUCUAGGAAAGUAACAUGUUUUGCAGUUCGUGUGUGUGUGUCAAAAUUCUUUCAUUUUAUGUGUCAAACUUGUGUCAUUUUUUAUAGAACAGUAAUCAAGAAAGGAUGUUACAAUGUACUACUAAUUUCAUAACACACUACAUAUGUGUGCUUAAUGAAUUGAUUAUUGCAGUUUGCUCAAGAUAUCCAUUUUUAGCUGUUAGGGGCUAGUAUGUUAUUAUGUAGUUGGUAAAUUGUCCUGGUUAUUCCUGUGCCAGCUUCUUCUUAUGUUGGGUGAUCAGUUGAACCUUUUGAAUUAUACAUUAUUAGUUUUUUAUGCCUCGUAUAGAACACCGCUUGUCACAUGUAUUCUCUAUGUCUAGUACCUUAUCUUAACUUCUAUUUGGUUUCAUUAUUUUAUUUUUAGGCUCUGGAGUGCUUAGUGCGAUUGGCAUCUGUCAGGCGCUCUUUGUUUACAACUGAUGUGACUCGUUCCAAGUACUUGGCACAUCUGAUGACAGGAACAAAAGAAAUUCUACGAUCAGGGACAGGUGUAGGAGCUAAUUGGACUUUCAUACUGCAUGACUAGUUUGCUGUUUUGCUUUCACGCAUCUAUGAAUCUGGAUGCUUUGUGAUACUUUCACUAUAUUGCUUGAGUAAUUGUUUGUUCACUUGUGUUGUAUUUUCUGGUACAGUUUCUUAAUGCACUUGAAAAUUUUGAAUAAAUCAUUCAUAGUUGCUCUCACAAUCCAUCCAUUCAUAAACUUCCGCUCUGUAUCAUUGAUGUCGUACUUAUCGCUAGUAUCAUCCCAUAACCCAUCCUACUGAUUCUUGAUCCACAACAAUAGAUGAAAUUUGAUGAACCUACCUUCGGUGAAUUAAACUUUAUUUGUUCAUUUAUGUUAUCUCUCUCCAGUUUUGUAACUGGUGCAAGAAUUAUACUUGUGCCUAUGCUAUCUUUGACAUGCUUGUGUGAGCUCAAUCAUGUUGAAACAUUUGGUGAUAAUACUAGUAAUUCUGGCCUGUUAAACUAAGUACCGAAGGCUGAUUUGUGUUAACAUGUGCUGGAAAAGAUGUUUCAAGCAACUGCAUGAAUUAUCUGGGAUCAGGAGAGUUUUCUUGAGUUAUUUCAGUUAGUCGAGCCAUUUCACUAAGCUGGUAUAACUAUUGGCUUGGAUACUAAAGGUAUCAAUUAUCCCCUUUCCCCUGUUCUAUAAGAAAAAGUCAUCCCAAAGAGAGAGUUAUUUAUUCUGUUUGCUCUGCCACUAAGUUUUGGAGGAAGAUAUUCUUCUGCGCAUUGUCAGUUUGCAGAUUUCUGCUAUUGUGACACUCAAUUAGCCCAUCUCUUUUUGACAAACCUUUCAUCUUAAGUUAUUAGCUCUAUAGCUAUUGCUACUUUGUUUUUCUUUGGUGUUAACAGCAUGGGACUUUCGGAGCUGCACUUGAGAAAUUCCUUUUGAUUUGAUCAUUGGUGGAGGGUGGACAUCUUACUCUACAUUUAAUGAUGAAAAAGUUGUAUUGUACAAAUGUCCUUGCUACGCUUUAUAGUAGCUCAAAUAUAGUUGUAGGUCAAAUUUUAUCCUUGGGAAGGAUUGAAAUAUAUCUUAAUCUAGUAUGGAAAAGCUUCUUGUUGCCUUCAGAUGGCAGGUCAGCUAUGAGUCAUGCCCCUGUCAUGGUGCUAGCAAGUCUUGUAUUUGACUAUUAAAACUAAAUUGCCCGCUGUUGCCUAUGAAAUCUUACUUCAGCAUUUUGUCCUUAUUAUGCCUCUUAUUCCUUUUAUACAUCUGCUAAUUGUAUAAUUUGAUUGACUGGUAUUCAGGUCUGGGUGAUCAUGAUAACUACCAUGAGUUUUGCCGCCUACUUGGACGUUUCAGAAUUAAUUAUCAGGUACUUUUUCCUUGUCUUUCUGAUGUCUAAUGGAAUUUCAGUUCCUUUACCAUUUCAGCUGAGAUAAGAUCCCCAUGAUACCCCUUUUAAUUGUGAGUGUGUGUUCCUUUUUUCUGGUAUGCAAUAUAAUUGUAUUUUGUCCUUCUUCUUGGCUGAGUUGGGAUUUCCUGGCUUAACUAGAUCCUAUUAAAUCAAUAACUAGAGGUUCAAGUUUUCUUUCCUCUCCAUCUUCAAUUUGUUAUUUAUAGAAUUAUUUCCAUCUUCUUUUUCUUUGCCAUGGUCUUAACUUUUGGAAAUGCACCACAAGUUCCCUCCCUUUAGUGAGGGAAUUGCAGAAGUGGUCAUUUGGGUUCCUUAGGUAAAAAAUCUCUGGGUAGUCUUAUUUGUUGCAUCACGUUUGUUGAAAAUUCUUUAGAGUUAUCACCCUUCACUGUGUGAUUACUUGCUGCAUUAGCAUGAACUUUGCAUUAUGUGAACUAUCUUAAACAGUGCUAGGAGUGCUGCAAACUCUCUUAUCAAAUACGAUCUCGGUUUAACCUUUUCUGCACUCCUCAAGCUAAAGCAAUGUUCCCGAUUUUCCUGUUUCAGUGCCUAAAGUAACAUGAAUAAGUCAUUUGCUCAAGUCCAAGUAGUUAUGUUAACAUACUGGUACAAUCAUUUGUGUUAUUCUUUCUGCAGUGGUUGGCAUUUGUCAAACGAGUUCUACUUGUAUUGAAGGGGAGAGCAAAAAGAACAUCCUGUCUUUUUCUCCUUGAUGUGUUCUAAGUGGGAAUCUUUAUUAAGUUCAUACACAUGCUUUAGACUUCAGUACUUAUCCUGCACCAUGAAUAGACUCUUUUGUGAAAAAUCUAUUUCCAUUUUUCUACCAAAUCUACAUUCAGAUAAUAUCCAAUCGCGUUGGCUUAUAAUUGCCCUUUCAUAAUAAUGAGAAACUUCCAAUCUUUGAACCCUUCUCAUAAAUCUGGUUGUUUCUCUUAAAUUGAUUUGCUAAGCUGUGCGUAGAUUUGUUUUAGGCUGCUCAAGACUCUGCUGCCCCUUGUAUGCGUUUCUUCUUUUUAUCAGUCUUUGGUGAUGUCUCUUUCUGGUAGAACUGGUAGAACUUCAAGGUGCAGCUACUGGUUUUUUUUGGCCCAUGACUUCCUGCCAGGUUGUUUCCUUUGCAAGUCCCAGGCUUGUGCUUGGGCAACCUCUUAUGGGUUAAAUCUAACAGACGAUCAUUCCUCAACUCCAAAGUAUCUUUUGCUCCCAAGUAAAUGGUCAAGACAAUUUCUUGGGAUCCAAAGUUUGCUCUGAUACUGAAUGGUGAUGCAUUUGAUUAUAGAAAAUUAAUUCAAGGAAUUGAGCAUUGGAUGAGAGCAGUAAGCUGAAAGCCAGAAUGACAACAGCAAGAGAUAUGGAUUCUGGCAAUGUCUGUUCUUUGUCAGAGAAAGAAAAUUCCGAGUUCUCAAAGUUGACUCCCCCAAAAGCUUAGGAUUUAAAAUUUCUCCAUAAUCUAGUGAAGACCAAAGAUGAACUCAUGGAUGUGUUUAAUUAACUUCUAAAAUGUCCAACAAACAUUUAGACAUUGGCUUGGGAUUAAAUCAAAGCUUAGAGGCCCAGACUCAUUCUUUCAAUAGGUAGUCUACUGGUCCUUGUUUCAAUACUGGGUACACCAAGUCUCGUUUUUGUUGUUCUCUAAUAGCAACAUUUUUUUUAAGGACUAAAUUUGAACCUGGAUACUUGUACCUUGCCUGAAACUUUGGUGCUGACAUAACUUGCAUGUACUUUUUGGUCGAGUCGUGUAUGAAUUUGAGUAUAAUUUCUUUGAUUUGGUAAGCGUAAUUAUGCUUUAUCGCAGUUGUCAGAACUUGUCAAUAUGGAAGGAUACAGUGAAUGGAUACGUUUGGUAGCAGAGUUUACGUCAAAAUCUUUGCAGUCCUGGCAGGUAAAUACACUGUUGCAUUCUGCUUUUGGAUAAUAUCUACUUAUAGCUUUCCUUGAUUGAAAUGUGAUGUGAUUUUAGUAAUAACAGGACUCGCCUUAAACUGCUUCUGUGAUAUUAAUUGAUAUUCUAUCUUAAAAUAGUGUUUUUUUUUUUUACUUUCUUUCAUGUUCCUUGGACCUGGCUGUGGAUACACCACGUAUAUAAUUCUUGUCAUCUUUUCCCCAUUCUUGAUUUGUUUCUUUCUUCUUUUUGAUUUUCCCCAUUCUCCUUCCCCUUCCUUCCUGCUUAUAUACCCAUCUUCCUUCCAGUUGUCAACUUGGAGUAAAGUAACACUAGCUCAUAGGACUCCUGUAAGCACUAGGAGCAGCUAGAAGUAGCCAGGUUUCUUGUCAUCAUGAGUUUCUACUUUAAAAAUCUUAUUGAAUCUGUUUUCUUGCAGUGGGCGAGCACCAGUGUUUAUUACCUUCUAGGGCUGUGGUCCAGAUUGGUAAGUUCUGUACCAUAUCUGAAGGCGGAUGCACCGAGCUUACUUGAUGAGUUUGUGCCAAAAAUUACUGAAGGUUAUAUCACAUCAAGGCUGGAUGCAACUCAGGUAGAAUGUCGUCAUGGCUCUUUUUGGCUUGGACAAGUUGGGAAAGUUAAUGCAAGGGAAGUAAAGUGAUGGGUUGCUUCAUUUUGUCAUUCUAGGCUGGAUUACCAGAUGAUCUUUCAGAACACCCUCUGGACAAUGUUGAGCUUCUUCAAGAUCAGCUUGAUUCCUUUCCAAAUCUUUGUAGAUUUCAGGUAAAGUCUAUGUAUUUUUUUUCCUUGUUAAAGAAUCUCAUUGCAUAGCUCUAAUACUAUUAGCUUUUCGUCUUCUAACAGUCACUGAUUUAUUUGUGUUCAUGAUCUCAGUAUGAAAGCAGUAGCUUGUUUCUUAUUAAUAUCAUGGAACCAAUUCUACAAACAUAUACGGUAUGCUGAAGACUCCAUUAGUGCUUUCUAUUGCUUGUGUUCCUUGUAUUCGAUAAAAUGUACUUAUUUAUCCCCUCUCUUCUGUGGAUUUUCUUCCUUUAUAUAGGAAAGAGCACAACUUCAACCUACUGAUGGUGGUGAACUGUCAGUCAUUGAAGCCAAACUUUCUUGGAUAGUGCAUAUAAUUGCUGCUCUCUUAAGAGUGAAGCAGUGUUCUGGUUGCAGGUAAAGAAACGUUCUAUGUGAUGCUUGUUGGUGGACAAACUUUUUUUUUUGUUUUUGGGUUCAUUUUAGUCUUGUCUAUGUAUGUUUAAACUUAAAUCACUGAGUAUUAUGCAGCUCGGAUUCACAAGAAGUAAUUGAUGCAGAACUUUCAGCACGUGUAUUGCGUUUAGUUAAUGUCUCUGAUACUGGGUUGCACAGUCAGGUAUGCACUGGGGACAAAGCCUCACUGCUUCGAAUGAUAUUAUGCGACUUGAUACUAAUGCUUUCUACUAAAUUUCACAAAUUGCAUAAGUUGUUUGUUUGUUGUGGCAACUUUUGAAGUAGCCACUAUGUUUUAAGUUCCACUUCUGAUUUUGCUGCUUCUUUUCCUUGGAUUCUGAGACUAACUAAAAAUACUGAAAAUUUGACAGACUUCGAGUGAUUUCGAAAUAAAAUCUAUGGAUUAGGGCACAGGUUUUUGUCCUUUUUCCUCUAAUUUCCUUAAAGAAAUAAUGCACUGGAAUAUUUCUUUCAUAUACUAUUAUUUAUUUAUUUAUUUAUUUUUUGCUCUCUGUGAUUUUUCACAAAUGAUUGCCAAUAAUUCCAUGGAAUUCUAAGGCACAUUUUUUCUGCCUUUUCCUCUAUUUUUCUUAAGAAAUAUUACACUGUGAUACUUUGGCUUUUACCUUUAGUUAUUAUAUGUUUUUUGCUCUUUCUGAUAUUUCCAAAUUUUUUUUCCCAUUGAUAGUAGCAUAUAUUAUUAUGUUUUUGUAUACCUGCUAAAAAGAAUCACCCAUUUACACAGUGGACAACCAUAAGGUUUUAGGUGACUUUGUGAAAUUGCAGAUUUAUAUACACAGAUAAUGUUGACAUGGUCAAAAAGGAAAACUCUUUGCAUCUCUAGAGAUCCAUAGAAAACUUUCUCAUGCGUUUUUUCAGCUUUUAAGACAUUCAAGCUUAUAGUAUUAGUAAUUUCCAAACCAAGAAUGGUCUGAAGGAUGAUCAUAACUUGACGUCUUACAACAGAAAUAUAGGCAUGGAGUUGCAGUUAGAAGAAUCAUAAUGAUGUUCUCAUGUUUCACUGUCUGGCAUAUGAGAUGAUGUGUGCUUCUAGCUUGUAAAAACCAUAGAAGCAUGCGAUAUGAUCUUUGUGGUCCUUUUUGGCAUCUUUGAUUGCUUAUCCAACUGAGCAGUGAGCUGACCUCUGGAGUGUGUUUCUUAUACGGACAAUGUAUUGAAAGCUAAAAUUUCUUCUAAAACCUCUCAUAUCUAACAAAGUAUUUACUUCAUUUUUUGUGUAAUAGUCAAUAUCCUUGCUUAUGCUAGAUUUUUGCUUGAGUAGUUAUCUGUAGUAUGUAUAACAUUUGAUGUUGUAAAACACUCUUGAUAGAUAUAACUAUUAAAGAUCUGAGUGAUACAUUGUGGGCUUCUUGAUCUACCUUUGUUCCUUUUGCAAUUUGUUGCUUUCACUGAAUAUCUGUGAUUCUCCCCUGCAAGUGUUGUAAACUAAAAGUUUCUUUGCUAUUAUUAUUUUUUAAAUCUCACAUGCAGUUUCUUUUCAAAUGCUAGGAAAUAUAGCAAUUUUAUUGUCUUGUUGCAUUGCAGAGAUAUGGCGAACCAAGCAAACAAAGGCUUGAUCGUGCAGUUCUUACCUUUUUCCAAUUUUUCAGAAAGUCCUAUGUGGGUGAUCAAGCUAUGCAUUCAUCAAAGGUAAUACAACUUAUUCUCAUUUCAAAAUAUUGAUGGACUUAUUGAUAAUCCAUGUUCUUGCUUUAUAUUGCAGCAGUUAUAUGCCAGACUCUCUGAACUUCUUGGACUUCAUGAUCACCUUUUGCUGUUGGAUUUUUUUAUUCGAAAAAUUGCAACGAACCUCAAGUGUUAUACAGAGGUAAUGGUUUUUAUCUUUUACUACUUUAAGCUGCUUGUUCAAGUUGAUCUCAUUUCUCUUUGCAUGUAGAGUGAUGAAGUUGUUGAUCACACUUUAAGUUUGUUCUUGGAGCUGGCUUCUGGGUAAGUAUGAAUAGUUAGUACUUUGUAGAUUUUAUGUAUUUCUAACUCCUACAAUUAGUCUAGUGAUAUGUCUUAUCAUGAAAUAAUUGUUUUUUUUCCCCCUGCAGCUAUAUGACUGGAAAGCUGCUGCUGAAAUUGGAGACUGUUAAAUUUAUUAUUGCCAAUCACACUGUAAUGCAAUCUAUAUCAUCUGAACUAAUUGAAUUUCAGACUGUCUCAAUGCCUUGGGACUAUUUAUGUUUUUAUGCAUGAAGUUGCAAAUCUAUUGUGUGCUUAUACGGAUAUUCUCUCCUACCCCUUGUUUCAGAAGGAGCACUUUCCGUUUCUUGAAGACUAUAGAAGCUCACGGAGCAGAACAACUUUCUAUUAUACGAUUGGCUGGUUAAUAUUUUUGGAGGAUAGUCCUCUGCUAUUUAAGUCCUCCAUGGAUUCACUACUGCAAGUAUGUAUACUAAGUGUUGUCAUGUGUUUGCCUAUCCUCCAUAUACUUUUUUCAUGUAGAUUAAGUUGCAAUUUAUGCAUGAUAUGCAAAUACAUAGAUCAUGCAUAGUGUACAAUUAUAUGCAAUGCAAGAUUAAAUUGAGGGUUUUCCUUUUAAAUCAUUUUUGCAAGUCAUUGACAUCUUCUGCUUGAUAUGUUUGGACACUGUUUAGGUUUUCGUCACUUUGGGUGCCACACCUGAUGCUAUGUUCCGAACAGAUGGCGUGAAAUAUAAGUUAAUUGGGUUGAUGAGGGAUCUUAGAGGCAUUGCAAUGGCGACAAAUAGGUCCGUACAUUUUACUUCUGAGGUAGUCUAAUCAAAGUAUCAAGUAGUUCUUGCCAAUUUGUUCAUUUUACCUUUUGGUGGCUUUUCAGUCGAAGAACUUAUGGGCUUUUGUUUGAUUGGAUAUAUCCUGCUCACAUGCCUAUUCUUUUAAAGGGCAUCUCACACUGGGCUGAUACGCCGGAGGUACUAUUUCAUGGUUGAAUUUUUCUUAAGAAACUAUGUCCUUGCUUUUGGUUUUCGUUGUCUGAAUUUAUUGCUCAAGCAUUUCAUUUUGAUUCUUUUAGGUAGGUGUUUGAACUUAAGUUGAGCUUGUUAAUGAUGUGCUUGUUCUGUUUGCUCAUUUUAUCUCCAUAUUGAAACAUAUGCCAGACCUUUUGCGUUUCUAUGUAGUCUUAUAAACUUUUCUCUUUAUUUCUUAACUUUUGGCUUGUCCAAUUGACUUAUCCCAAUGAACUAUAUUUGUACUCAUUAAUGUUUGAUCCAAUUUGAUGUUUUGUCUGAGCUCUGAACAUUAUUCUAUACACGCACAAACUUUGAUUGCACAAUUCUGCAGGUUACAACUCCAUUGUUAAAGUUCAUGGCUGAGUUUGUAUUAAACAAAGCUCAACGCUUGACUUUUGAUUCUUCUUCUCCAAAUGGAAUAUUACUUUUUAGAGAAGUUAGCAAGCUUCUUGUUGCAUAUGGCUCAAGAGUUUUAUCUCUUCCAAAUCCUGCGGAUAUUUAUGCCUUCAAAUACAAGGGGAUAUGGAUUUCACUAACUAUCCUUGCAAGAGGUAAACAAUUUCUUGUACAUCAGAAUAUUCUGGAACUACACUAGUUUUUCUGCAUUUUUAUUCGUCCUUUGAAACUCUUUUAUGUCUAGUAAGAUCUUGUUUUUGCAGAAUGACAUGUUCGGUUGGUAAGAAAAUUAAUUCUGAGGACCCUCUAAAAUAGCUACUACAUGCAUGUAGGAAAACUAUUAUUGUUGGUGAGAUAAAGAAUUGUAAGAAUCCUUGGAUACUUUUUAAGAGUUUAGUUAAGCUUAAGCAAGGAGUUCUACAAGCCAUUUAGGAGAGUCAUUGAGCUCCUAUAUGUUUUGAGAGAGAUUUGGAAUGGUUAUUUCUAGUCUUUACCUCAUUUUACCUAUCUUUAAGACCUUACAGUCUUUCCAAAAGGUCACGACUUCGUUAAAAAAAUCCUUUAUCUCGCUUCUUGUUUGUUCUCAAUAGAAGGUGCUCUCUUCUGGUUUGUGGAAUAUGUUUGCUUACCUCUUCGGUAAAAUUUUCACUGACCAGUUUGAUUUGUGGUUCUGCUAUGUGGAAAUCACAUACAAUUACUAAAGCUCAGCUUUAACUUUACUAUUAAUUGUUUACUGCUCGAAAGGAUGUUCAUCUUCCUGUUUAUAAAAAAUUGUGUUCAGACUAAUGUUAUUCUGAGCAAUAGAGGGAUGCCUUUGUUGGGCAUAUCUGCUGCCUGAAGCUCUGCUAUUGUGGGGUUCUGGCUUUGCAACUUUGCCCUUUCAAGGAGGGCUGGUUGGGCAGCUAUUUUUCUGUAUUAAAACUUGAGGGGGUAUGCCUUUAUCUUUAUGGAAAUGUAAAAGGAGGCUAGUGUUGUUUGUCCUUGUUACUUUUUCUUUUUUGUAGAACUAGUAUGUUUUUUUAGUAGUAGUAGUUCUGUAGGAUAGGCUAUACAUGUUUAGGCCAUCGCAUUUCACUGAGUCUAGGAUAUGUAGUAAAGUAAAUAUUUGUUAAAAUCAACAGAUUCCAUUGGAAUUACUCUAUUUUAUCCAUUUUUUUGCACCAACUUUUUGCUGUUGCUUUUACCACAUGGCAGCUCUUGCUGGAAAUUAUGUGAACUUUGGAGUUUUUGAACUCUAUGGAGACAGAGCACUUGCUGAUGCACUCGAUAUUGCUCUUAAGAUGACACUGGCAAUUCCCUUGGCUGAUAUUUUGGCUUACAGGAAGGUAUGUAUGGCUAUUCAUUAGAGAAUGAGGAAGAGUAAUUGAAAGGAUAUGAGUAAAUUCGUAUCAGAUCUUUUUUGGAGAUGCUUUCCAUCCGUACUACAGUCUACAAGAGUAGUAGUGAUUAAAUGGAAUUUUGUCGGCUUGUUAAGGAUAGUGUUAUUUUGGUGAACUUAUAGAUUAGAUCCACUUGUCAUAUUAGUAGUUAACUCUCUGAAGUACCGGGGUUGCAAAUCAUAAGAUCUAAUUGUCAUUUUAGUAGUUAAGUUAAAAAGAGGGUAAUUUUCUGUUGCUCUUAAUAUUAAAUGACCCAAAUUUGGGAUGCCCCACAAUCUUAGAAAUCUUUGUAAAGAGAAUGAUUGUGUUUUUAUCUGCUUAAACAAUCCUGUGUCUCUAGUUUAAUUGUCUGAUCAAGUUAAUCAUAAAAAUGUGGUCAGUAAUCCUGGAAAAUAGCGGACCAUUGCCAUCAUGAAGUCACCUUUUCCAAAAAGUUGGAUUUGGAGAAGCACCUAUUACUAGGGACAGUUUUAAGUAAUGAAGAAUACUCAUAGGGAGGAGUAUGACUAGUUUCUGAAUGUCUGUAAAAUAUGUCUUUAGUCUUUCCAUCCUGUAAGACAUAUCAGAUCAGCUUUGGAUUUAUGAAUAAUGUAACGUUUUGAGAUUCUAUUGUUUUGCUUACUGUGAGCAACUAUACCUUAAGGAUUGAUUUUUAAGAUGUGAUUCCUAGAUCUUCUUCCUCCUCCUCCUUACUCUUACCUCUAAGUUUCGCUUUCAAUCACAACCAUAAUCCUGGAUCCAACUUAUUGGCCUUUCUGAUGUUGUGCUUCUCUGAGCAUUAAUGGUCGAGUUCCUGAUUAUGCUUCUGAUGUAAUUCUUCUUUGUCUUUAUUUACUUCAAAUGGCAAAGUAGUCCUUCAAAAUAAUUCGAACACAUAAUGUACUUGUGUGUCUGUUCCGUACUGUUUAGGAAGAAAAAGAGUGUUCAGGAGAAGGCCAGAUUUAUAAAGGUUUGGAGGGAACACGCAAAAUCCAAAAUGUACCUUUCAACAGUAAAGGCAUAUUUUUUCAAAAAUGCUUAUCAGAUUAUUGCUUUUUUCAGAAGGUAGAUAAAUGCCCAGUGAUGAGGCAAUGCAAGAAAUGUGUCUUUCCUGGGAAUUGGACGGAUGGGCAUUGCCUGUGUCUAUCGAAUUGUUGGCUUCCUUUAGCACAAUUUCUCAUUUCCCGUGCUGGAUUUCCUUUCUCAGCUAUGUGAUUUUGAUUCCAUCCUCAACUGAACCAUAAACUAGAUCUCAACCAAACAAAAACUGGAUCUUUAGAGUUUCCGAAGAAGGAAAAGUCAAUCUUCUGUUUUGUGCUUCACCACCUGAAAAGUUGGUUAGGAACCAAAGAUCUUUUAGUGUUCUUCUUUCGUGGGCAAUGCAUCUCCGCUUCUGAUAGAUACCUCUUGGUUAAAGGAUAGGAAAUUUGUUGCAAGCUUCAGACGCGCAUACAGAGCUUUUGCAUCUAGUUUCUCUUGGAUCACCUCUGUGCUCAUGAAUAAGAUACAUUAAGCUUUCUAAGAUAAGCAGAAACCAUCAUGCAACUGUAAAGGAUUUUGAAGUGUAGAAAAACCCUUGAAGAUAGCAUCAAGGAUUUGUUUUGAGAGAUAAGACUGUUAGUAAGUGGUAGAUGUUUAUCUGACUUAAAAUCCAUUAGGGAGCAGUAGUUUUGAUAACAUCACCAAGAAAAGUAGUAGAUUUUCCUAGGCAAACUCACAAGUAUCAUCCAACUCUUUGUUCAAAAUGUAACUGAAUUGGUAAACAAUUUGAUUCAUAAACAAAUACCAAGAUAUAACUUAAUUGGUAAAGAAUUUCAUUCAUAAACAAUUGCUGAAUGCUUGCUGUCUGCUCACGACCUGUAUAUUAGUGAUUUUCUAGGAACGUCUCCUCGAUACCUUCUUUUUUUCAUCUGUGGUGGUACUAGCAGUUUCUAAUCUCGCUUUGUCUCUUUGCAGCUGACAAAGGCAUACUAUGCAUUUUUGGAAGUUCUGUUCAAUAGCCACAUAGUUUUCUUGUUGAAUCUUGAUACAAACACUUUCAUGCAUAUAGUUGGCUCGCUUGAAUCUGGUCUGAAAGGUCUAGAUGGUGGUAUAUCCUCACAGGUAUUAUACUAUAAACCCAUCAUGGAGCAAUACACGUCUCUUACACAGUGAAUUUUUUUUUUUUCCAUCUGUUGAUUUCCUGCAAAGAAUUUUGGUGAGGUUUCACAAUGGGUGUAUCUGCAUCCAUUUAGAGCAUCAUACUUACGUAGUCAGUAAAACAGGUGUUGUAUGUUAACAAGCCCAUGGUACAGUCAAAGUGUCAAAAAACUUGUAUUCACAAAAUUCAUCUGCUAAAUGUUUAGUUUGACUGCUGAUUUUGAAAGCAGUGAUAUUAAAGAAAGGCAACUGGUCGUUAAUACAACUAGUGUUACCGAUUUUUAAUGGUGAAAUGCUGAUGCAUGUUUAAAUGGAUCCUUUAACGUUGAUGAAUUUUGUGGCACACUGGUAGGUGAUUGCUUUUAUUUCUUAUCAAAUCUGUUCUGUUCUUGAUGCCAGUGUGCAUCAGCAAUUGACAAUCUAGCUUCUUACUAUUUCAACAACAUUACCAUGGGUGAAGCACCCACUUCACCAGCUGCAGUUAGUCUGGCAAGGCAUGUUUCAGAAUGUCCCACUAUGUUCCCAGAGGUAGGCCAAGUAUAUUAUUCUUGUGUACUAAAGUGAGCUUUAUAAAGUAAUGUCCUGAUCCUCAAAUUACAGAGGCUGAUAAUUCUACCAUUCUGCAUUGACUGUCUGUGCCAGUAUGAUUGCUUCAUCUUAGUUUGCAGAUCUGAAAGGCAUUUAAAAAAAUUAAACUGACAAAUGCCUGCAUUUUCUACCAUGAGCACACACUUGUAGUGCAAAGUAUUAGCAAAUAUCUCCGUUUACCAAUGAGCACACAGAGAGUUUGAGAUAUCUGGAUUAUAUAUAUUGCCAACAACAGUCAAGGAAAGCUUUCUACUUUGUUAAAUUAACAUUGAAAGAGAGGGAUUAUUUGUAUAUAAGUAGUUGCUUUACCUUUCUUCCAUGCUUUCUGCUGUCUUGUACUGAUAUUAGCUUUUGUUCAGAUACUCAAGACCCUCUUUGAGAUAGUUUUGUUCGAGGAUCUUGGCAAUCAAUGGAGUCUUAGCAGACCAAUGAUAAGCUUGAUACUUGUAAAUGAGCAGGUGAUGUUCAGAGCUGUUCUUUGGCUCUUUUUUGUAGACCACUUCUUGCUGCUGCUUACAACUCGACACAAUAUAUUGGGCCUAAGACUUUCCUUUUGUCUUAUUCUAAUGGUGUUUUUUUGGGCCAUUUGUUGUAAAAAUUUCAUUGUAUGAAUUAGCUGUUCGUUUUCUCUUUGUUUGCAGAAAGUAAUUGACACUGAUUGCAACAAUUUUUUUUGCAGAUACUAACAGAUCUGAAAGCUCAUAUUUUGUCUUCACAGGCAAGUCUUAGCCUAGCUUUGACUAUUUUUACUGAUUUUUUCUUUUUGUUGUCAAUCAUAAUGCAAUACGUUGGUUUAGCAUGGUUUUAGAUGCUAGUUUCUGGCUGCUAUAAUUAUAAUGCAGUAGAACAUAUAUUCUGAGUUGAAGUCCUUAAUUGCAGCUUAAACAUUCUAGAAAAAGCUAGAACUCUUUACCAAAUUGUAAAUUGGUUAAAACUUCUUAACGGUAGGUCAAGUGAAUUGGAGCAUUUGCCUCUCGUUUCUUCCAGCAGUUUCCUUGGUGGCCAUUUCGGCACCUGUAUUCAAAUUUAAUUUUGGGAUUUGAAUAUUUCAACCAAGCUAAUUAUCGGGGUUGAUGGUUCUCCUGUUAUGAUUAUUAUGUUGAACUUGGAAAAUCAGCUAUUGAGAUUGUGGUAUUAUUGUUUGCGAAAGUGGGUUUAGAAUACUUGACUAAAAGCAUAUUUCAGUUCUGCUCUCGUGUUAGCAUGCAAGACAAUGCUUAAAAUCCUUUGCAUCUGGCAACUUUUGAAUGUCCAGUUAUAGUCGUGGAAGAUGAUAACCCCCAUUCUGGGUUCCUCUUCCUUGGACACCUGACUAGUAAGCAGAAUAGUGCUUCGGCUGACCAACACAUGAUUAUUAAGAAUAUGUACCCAACUCGAAGGGGCUGUGGAACUUUUGAGCUUCCACGCUGCUGAUAAAAAAAGAAUCAUCAACAACUUUGAUAGAUAUGCUUCAUGUAUAGGAAACUAAACAUACAUCAGUCGAUGAUUGGGAAGGAUACAGGUUUACAAGUGUCUUCAUAAUGAAACAAAGCACAAGUACAGCUAUCUUGUACAGUUAAGAAUGCUAAAUAUUGUUGUAAUGGUCAAAUUACAGUAUUACUUAAAACUAAAAUGAAAAUAUUUACUGAAUUUUGAAUGACAAGGAUGGCAAACAGAUUUUAACAACUUGACUACCCUGGUAGUUAGUAUAUGUAAUAAUUCUCAACUGCGAAAGCACUAGCCAUAGUUUUGUAUAGAGUGCUUUUAAUUGUAUGCAGAGUUUACUUGAUUUCAGCUCACUGUUGUUAAUUAUCUAUCUAUUCAGUAAACUGUCUUGCCUAAAGAGCAAUUACUAAAAUUUGCAUGCUCUGCAAAUGUGCCUGUUUUGGUUGCUCCAUUAUUUCCAUGUGCAAAAUGACAAUUUUUCUGGUUUUAUUGCAGCCAAUAGAUCAGCAUCAGCGCCUUUCCCUGUGCUUUGACAAAUUAAUGGUUGAUGUUAAUCGAAGCUUGGAUUCAAAAAACCGAGACAAGUUUACCCAGAAUUUGACAAUAUUUAGGAAUGAUUUUCGUGUCAAAUAGCUAUAUGCUUGUGGGAUUACCUCCAAUUUUAAUCCACUUGCACUCGUAAUGAUAUCUGUCACCUUGAGGAUUCAUCUCCGUGUUACAGAUGGCUCCUAAUAUGAAAAUUUUCAUCCUUGGCAAACACCAAUCAUUCAGGAGUAUUUUGAGUGCAUUUGGGAUUCUCUGUGGACAUGAGAAGUAGCAUGCUAAAUGAACUUGUACUAAUUGUGAUGUACAUAAUUUUUUGAAUGAGUGCAUAGUUGAUGCCUAACAUCCAUCAAUAGAACUUUUCAGGUUGUGGCAGAUUGACUAAAUGCACCUAUUUUGAAUGUAUUUUUGAGCUGUUCUGUAGGAGAAUGCUUAGUUAUAUUAUUUGUUAGGUGAACUUGUUUUGAGUUGUAAAUUCUAUGUUGAUCAUUGAUCAUUUACUAACUUUUGGUUGUAAUGGUGCUCUUUACAGCUAAAAUCUGAAUUCCUUGUUAUUUGAUUUCAUUUAAGCCGUGUUACAUAUUGUUGCUACUAUUGUUGUUAUUGUUGUUGUCAUUUAAUACAAAUGUAGGAGGGAAACUCUAUCCUAGUAUCACGGAAUGGCUAUUUCAUAACACAUUAGCCCAUCUGGCACUAGCGCUCUCAAGGACUUAGGCAAGAGAAAUGAUUUAGUUCAGCCUUUAUCCAAACAUCUCAGAGUAGCACUCUCAAGGACUUGGCCUAUAUAUAGGCAAACCCAAGAGAGCAAGAGAAUUCUACAAUCUAAGGUUACAAUGCUUGACCUCUAGAAGUUCUAGUUCUACACUAGUCUAGGCCUCUUAUGUACAAGACUAGGCUAUUCUACAGCAUCCAAUAGUAAACCACUAGCCUUUGGGCUGGUGGUCACUUAAGGCCUGUUACCAUCAAUUGUCACAUUAUGUGGCUCUCUUAAAAAUCCAGACGGGUGUGUAGUGCAUUCGUCUAGUCCGAUAGCGGUUCGGUCCCUGUUGGUCCCUCCCAUUGGUUCAGUUAUGCCUCCUUUAGAAUAUGUUAGAGAAGGAGUAAGAAUAAGUGUAGAGUAAACUAUUGCUGACUGUCGAAAAAAAAAAUACUACAUCCAAUAGUAGCCUAUAGUAAUUUGGAAUAUUCUACAAAAUAUAUGUGAGGUUUUCUAUAAUUCUUUCGUAAGAGCUAGUCAUGGGUAUUAAUUGCACUUUUUCCUAGGGGUGUUAUCAAAUUUUGUUUCAAGUCAUGGUGAGAGAUACGACUAGGUGAAGAGAUUAAGAGAAAAUUUUUAUCAGAUUUAUGUACUAAUGUUUUAUUAGCUAUCUAUUAUUUUAUAUUUUCUUUUAAAGUUCUUUGUCUACAAUCUUAAUUGAUUUUAUAUGGGUUUGAUCUAAUAAAAAGUAGGGAUUUUUCCUACUUGAGUAAGGAUUUUCUCAAUUCCUAAUAAUAAGUUUAUCUUUUUCCUAUAUUAAAAUUAUUUCUUAAUUUCUUUAGGCAUGUUCAUAUUUAAAAGAGCAAAUUGCACUAAAAGUCACUAAACUGUACACUUGUGCUGGUCUAGGCUAUUAAACUAUUUCCUUAGUCGAAAAUGUUGCUGAACUAACCAAAAUGCAUGCUUUGUGUCAUUCUGUAUAAUUUGGUCGUCAAAACAAGCGAAAUGGACAUCAUGUGACUUGUAGGCUUGGUUUUUGAGGGGCAAAAUCGUUGAUUUAGUUUUUUGGUUGAUGUUUGUCUUCUGCCCUUGAAUGUUAUAGAUAACAAUCAGGCUCUAUUUUCUUUUCCACCCUAAGGCCCUUGUGAAUUUUUGCCCAAAUCUAAAGUAGAUUUUUCCUUGCCAUCUCCACACCACUAGCCAGCCAAUGGCUGGGGUUCGUAAUCAUUGUUUUUUGAAUUGAUGUGGUCUUUUUGCCUUCCAAGAAAAGGAAGAGGAUUUUUUCAAGUUCUCUCUUUGUUUAAGUGGAAUCAAGUAGGGUUUUAUAUGUUCACACAUGAAAUAGAAUCAAGUGGGGUCUUAUAUGUUCACAUGAAACCCUAAACUCUUUUAUUAGUUUUGAAACAACUACUAUGCCUACUUCCACUUAACAUGUGAAAUGGAAGCAAGUGGGGCCUUAUGUUAUAUGUUCAUAUAGAACUCUUCUAUUAGUUCUUGAGCAACUAAGAUGCCAACCAAGUGGUUGCUUGGAGCUGACUAAAAUUUUUGAGUGUUUUCUUAAUGUAGAAUUUCUCUUAUGGGAGAAUUGCAAUUAUAUUCUCUCAUAUUUGCAACUUAUGCUUUUCACAGUUCAAAAUUAAGCAUUUUGGUCCUUAACGAUGUUUGAAAUACAAAUUUGGUACUAAAUUCUAUUUUGUGUCAAUUUAUUUUGUACUUUGGAAGAAGAGAAAGUUAGACUAAGAGUUAAGGUAUAAAAGAAACAUAGAUGUAUAAUAUUAUAUGCAUAAAGAAAGUCAAUUGCAAGUAGCUUUAUUUUUUGAAGCAAGCAAUUUCACUUUUGGUCCACAAUCUAUGUGGUUAGAAAUGAAAUAUGGGAACAAAGUUAAUACUGACUAAGUUGCAGGUAGAGGUAUCAAAAUGGGUGACUUGGGCGGGUUUGGGUUGGGUAAAAAAUGGGUAAUAGGUUGUCACGCCCCGAGCUCGCACGUGCCCGUCACAUGACACCCGCCGUACUC